Molecule: non-coding RNA, 394 nt
Organism: Arachis ipaensis
Lineage: Eukaryota; Viridiplantae; Streptophyta; Magnoliopsida; Fabales; Fabaceae
Source: RefSeq, a predicted model, not a curated record
AAUAUAAUUUUUUUGGACUGGUAAAGACAAAAGGAGUUGACUAGUUGCUAUGACACUGUGUAUAACAACUUCAUAUGGCAUCUCAAAAUGAAGGAACUAAGCACGUGCAAAGAAGGAGGACAACAAAGAUCCACCAUAAGUUGAGAUGUUUGUUGUAACUCGUACAAACAAAAAAGGAGAGACUGAUUCGGGAACACAAGAGACGAUUGAUCAUAUUUAAAAUUUGAAACAAGCAGGAUACAGUGAUGAUGAGGCAGUUCAAACAGUUUUUGGAAAGGAAAGACAUGGUAGAGUUCGUUUCUAUGGUCGAUCAGUCACAAAAUCCUCUCUUAAAAAGGAUAAGCAAAUCCGACAAAUGCAACAACAACAUACUGAAGUGGUUUCAACUAUGGAG